GGAUGUUUGGAUCAUUACACCGCAACAGAAGCAUGUGGACAGACAUUCACUGUAAUGAUGGACAUCUGCUCAUGCACAGAAUUAGAGAUGUUUGGACGUUACACCCAGCCAACAGAAGUAUGUGGACAGACAUUGACUGUAAUGAUGGACAUCUGCUCACAAGUGGAGAGAAGCAAUAGUCUGAACUGGAACCCUGCUGCCAAAAAAUAAAUCUAGUCCUAAACAUUACAAAAACACAAAACAUGUUAGUAUUUUGACCGUAAGUUUCAUGCUAUAAGCCACCCUGAGUAAUAUAUUACUUGGAGAACCAAUCAUGACCCUUGUUUAAAGAGUGCCCCACCCCACCCGAAUAUAAUUUAUGUAAAAUCCCUGUAGGUCUGGUUCAGCAGGUUGAGUUGUUGUCAUUUCCGCAUAAAAAUACAAUUUAUUUAUAUGGUCUGUAUCAAAACGUUCCUUGGGAAUCUGAAAUAAAGUACCCUGUGCUUGUGAUACCAGUGUUAUAUGCAUGUUGUCUUGAAAAUUCUUCAUGUUGAUUCCUUUGCGUUUCCAGUAUUUCAGGUCUUAAAUAUAUUCUACAAACAAUUGCACCAAUAUUUUUUUUAACUGACAGCAAUCUUUAUGGAAUAUGAAGGAAAAUAUAAAGUACCAUUAUCAUUUUUCAUAUGAUCAACAAACAAAACACUUGAGGAAAUAUUUUUUCAAAGAAUCA
Long non-coding RNA from Sinocyclocheilus grahami, 709 nucleotides. RefSeq lists it as uncharacterized. Lineage: Eukaryota; Metazoa; Chordata; Actinopteri; Cypriniformes; Cyprinidae. The record is from RefSeq and is a predicted model, not a curated record. The transcript is spliced from 3 exons.